Molecule: long non-coding RNA, 746 nt
Organism: Wasmannia auropunctata (little fire ant)
Lineage: Eukaryota; Metazoa; Arthropoda; Insecta; Hymenoptera; Formicidae
Exons: 3
Source: RefSeq, a predicted model, not a curated record
UGCGCCCGAAUGAAUUACCGACGCGGCGCAAAGACGAGGGAACCUCAUGUGUCGCCUCAUCUAAAUAAACGUAUACCACAUUACAUCCUCUGUCCCCUCAUGAUUGUCAGCGAGAAGUGCUUUUUUCGGUCCAACUUGCUUUUACAUCUUCUUAUCUAUACAUAUAGAUAAUCGGUCUCAGACUGGCGGAAGAAUACGACGGCGAAUUUCUUUGAAGAUCCACCGAAAGCCAAAGACUUUAACUCCUCCCCCAAGGCGCUAGACCGCAUGAUUGCCGUAAUUUUGACUCAUUACAAUUACGCUAAUGCCCAGCUAUCAAUUAGCGGAGGCUAAAGAGGUUCGCAUUAAAUAUAAUAGAUAAUAUCGUCGUCGUUGCGAAUCGUUCGUUGGUUCGUUCGUUUGUUAUGCCUGGGGUCAGCACCGGAAUGAACGAUGAUAGUAGCGAUGAUGAUUGCCGUGAAUUAAGUUUUCUACGUUGGAAGAUAAACGGAGAGAGGGUUCAACGUUUCAAAGCACGUGCUAUAAUUCCAUUCGGGCGAAGAUCUCGCCGAGUGUAGCAACAUGUGCGGGGAUGAACUUGAUUUUCCUUGACUUGCCCGCAUCUUUUUGCGCCUUCGCAUGUGCGAUCGCGUGCAUCCUAAAAUUUUAUCUUCCAAGAUCCACAUGGGCUUCAGCGCUUACCGCGUUGUGUCAUACGUUACAAAUGAAUAAAGAAAGGAUACUUUUUUUUAUCGAGGUUUGAAUUU